Molecule: transfer-messenger RNA, 371 nt
Filed under: Mycobacteriaceae
Lineage: Bacteria; Bacillati; Actinomycetota; Actinomycetes; Mycobacteriales
Also listed under: 1 other name
Description: Gordonia sp009862785 Standard tmRNA
Rfam family: transfer-messenger RNA
About the family: Bacterial tmRNA, also known as 10Sa RNA or SsrA, is named for its dual tRNA and mRNA-like properties. Its role is to liberate the mRNA from a stalled ribosome.
Source: RNAcentral
GGGGCUGAUCGGUUUCGACUGCGUGCGUCGAGGUAGGGGAAGCGUGUCGGUGCAGGCUAGAGACCACCGUAAGCGUCGUAGCAACCAAUUAAGCGCCGAUAAGAAUCAGCGCGACUACGCCCUCGCUGCCUGACAGCGACGGCUAGUCUGUCGGCCCGGGUCUGCUCCCAGCCCGGGUCCCGGCAUCAUCUCAGGGAGCUCACCGUUGUCGUCGGUCGCGGACGGCAGCGGGACAACAAACAGCGACUGGGAUCGUCAUCCUGGCUUGUUCGCGUGACCAGGAGAUCCGAGUAGAGGCAUAGCGGACUGCACACGGAGAAGCCCUACUGAAGCGACGGAGGACCCGGGUUCAAUUCCCGGCAGCUCCACAU